UCUUUCCUACCAGUGGAAACAAUAAAGUUGGGAUUUAUAGGUUAGACACACAUCAAGGAUGCAGCAGAUCGCUAUGGAUGUCAGUUGUGUGGAUCCAACAUAUCGCUAUGGAAGCAAACAUUGUGGUUCUUCUCUAAGCCAUGCUCUUUAGCAUUAUUCGAUGGUAGAUGAUCCAGAAGACAGUGAUAGUGAAGAUGAUGAAGAUGAACAAACCGGUUAGACUGAAAUCGAAAUUCGCCUCUUUGUUUUUCAUUCUAUCACAUUAGGUACCUUCAAUAUUCAGCGAGAAGUCAUUCUUUUUGUUUAUUUUGUUUAUUUGGAUUAUUAAUUGUUGUUUCUAAUUCUUAAGGAAAUUUUCUGCUUGCAACAAAACAAUCGAAAGACCUUUUGUCCUAUAUGCAAUCGGUCACAAAGUGUCGUCUAAAGAGGUCUCGAAACCAUAAUUCGAUAGUUCUUCCUUAAUUGUCAACUGUUGACUAACGAUUUGAUUCUACUUGUGAAAGAAAAUUGUGAGUAUAAGUUAAAUAUGAUAAUCGCUUUUUGGUGAUAUUGGGAUUAAUGAUUUCAUUCGUCGUAAUCGCUCUUCUACUUUUCCCUUUCGUAGUGCUAAUGAUUAUAGUAAUCUACGAUAAUGAAGAAACGGUACCAAUCGGUAAAUGAAUGAUGGUUUUCUCAUUUGUUGAUUGAUGUGCAUCUUUUCUAACUGUUCUCUUUGCUUUUGAAAGGGACU
Molecule: long non-coding RNA, 730 nt
Organism: Helianthus annuus (common sunflower)
Lineage: Eukaryota; Viridiplantae; Streptophyta; Magnoliopsida; Asterales; Asteraceae
Exons: 3
Source: RefSeq, a predicted model, not a curated record